AGAACGAACGCUGGCGGCAGGCUUAACACAUGCAAGUCGAACGCCCCGCAAGGGGAGUGGCAGACGGGUGAGUAACGCGUGGGAAUCUACCUAGUUCUACGGAACAACAGUUGGAAACGACUGCUAAUACCGUAUACGCCCUAAGGGGGAAAGAUUUAUCGGAAUUAGAUGAGCCCGCGUAAGAUUAGCUAGUUGGUGGGGUAAUGGCCUACCAAGGCGACGAUCUUUAGCUGGUCUGAGAGGAUGAUCAGCCACACUGGGACUGAGACACGGCCCCAGACUCCUACGGGAGGCAGCAGUGGGGAAUAUUGGACAAUGGGCGCAAGCCUGAUCCAGCCAUGCCGCGUGAGUGAUGAAGGCCCUAGGGUUGUAAAGCUCUUUCAACGGUGAAGAUAAUGACGGUAACCGUAGAAGAAGCCCGGCUAACUUCGUGCCAGCAGCCGC
This 444-nucleotide ribosomal RNA is filed under the name uncultured bacterium. RNAcentral's name for it is "SSU rRNA". It matches the Rfam family "Bacterial small subunit ribosomal RNA", at positions 26 to 518 of the family's 1533-position model. The record is from RNAcentral.